RNAcentral lists this ribosomal RNA (300 nucleotides) under uncultured Phenylobacterium sp. RNAcentral's name for it is "bacterial SSU rRNA". It matches the Rfam family "Bacterial small subunit ribosomal RNA", at positions 114 to 431 of the family's 1533-position model. The record is from RNAcentral. Lineage: Bacteria; Pseudomonadati; Pseudomonadota; Alphaproteobacteria; Caulobacterales; Caulobacteraceae.
CGCGUGGGAACGUGCCCUUUGGUACGGAACAACUGAGGGAAACUUCAGCUAAUACCGUAUGUGCCCUUCGGGGGAAAGAUUUAUCGCCAUUGGAGCGGCCCGCGUUGGAUUAGGUAGUUGGUGAGGUAAAGGCUCACCAAGCCUACGAUCCAUAGCUGGUCUGAGAGGAUGAUCAGCCACACUGGGACUGAGACACGGCCCAGACUCCUACGGGAGGCAGCAGUGGGGAAUCUUAGACAAUGGGCGCAAGCCUGAUCUAGCCAUGCCGCGUGAGUGACGAAGGCCCUAGGGUCGUAAAGC